Molecule: ribosomal RNA, 253 nt
Filed under: uncultured bacterium
Lineage: Bacteria
Description: partial 16S ribosomal RNA
Rfam family: Bacterial small subunit ribosomal RNA
Source: RNAcentral
UACGAGUGCCCCAAGCGUUAUCCGGAAUUAUUGGGCGUAAAGGGUGUGCAGGCGGGGGGACAAGGGGGGUUUGAAAUCUCCCAGCUUAACUGGGAUAGGUUAUGCCAGACUGUUCUUCUAGAGGACGAGAGAGGGGGGUGGAAUUCCGGGUGUAGUGGUGAAAUGCGUAGAGAUCCGGAGGAACCCCAGAGGCGAAGGCGGCCCCCUGGCUCGUACCUGACGCUCAGCCACGAAAGCAUGGGGAGCGAACGGG